GAAAAAUCAAGAAAGCAAGUUUCCAUGCAGAAUUAAAAUUAUAAUAUCAAUGGAGCAGAUAAUUUGGAUUCGAUACCACUUGAACCACAUCGAUGGGAUUUCAAGCGGCAGCUUUUCCCAUUUGCAGUGCUAGCGACAAUCGACCAACUAUUUCAAGAAGAAUUUCUAUACAUGUACAGAAUAUUAAACGUUUGUACAGCCAUAAAGAAAUUGUUAUACGGAAUUGAAUCUUGUAUCAGUACAACAGCAGUCCCUUUCCACUUUGUUGACAACAUUUUACCAGUCUAGUCCCUUCUUUCAACAGAAGUUAAUCACCGGUUCGUGCCCAAAAUGUUCUCCUCUUUCUACCUACUUUUGUUGAAAAUGCUAUCAAUGCAGUGUAUCCACGUAAGAGACUUCAGAUAGGUGGCAACAAAGCAAGAUGGAACUAGAAAAGUUGAACAGAGUUCUUGGAGAGAUCCAUGCCUGAUGAGUCAAUUAUUAGGUUAUUUUGCAAUUUAUCCCUGCUGGCUCAUAAGAAUUUCAACUGCUACAUUAAGAUCCCCAUCAGCAGCUGCCAGUGCAACUUCAACUUGUGUCUGAAACAAUGAAAAGGCACUUGCAUCGGCAAAUGAACUAUAACAACCUUUCCUUCCUAGCCUUUUAUUGUUCUGUAUUAACCCUAGCAUCUCUAUCUAUCUACUAUGAAUAUGCUAAAUUUUGCAUGAGAAGUCAUUUCAAUUGCGUUCCAAAUAUAAUUGACCUUAAAUCUCUUCAAGUACUUCAUUUUCUAUUUGGUGGGGGAUAAAUGAAAAUAGUUGCAGUCUUUUUACCUUCUCAAAACCCAUAGAUACAAGUUUUUGGAUUUGUUCAUCAGAAGCAACUGAAUCCUGAAUCCAGUAGACCAUAGAACCACAAAUGUUAGACCUGAACCAAAAUCAAGAAUGUAGUAAGCAAAAUCUGAUUCUUAAACCUGAUGGCGUGUAAGGCCUUCUGGAGCUGCUGCAACUGUAUUAUCUACUGCUGACCUCCUGCAUUCCAAGAACAAAAGAGAAAUGACUUUUCACUUGCAGGAAGGAGAAAGAGGGCAAAAAAGUGAACAUGAUACAAUGCUAUCAAUGAUAUUUAACAUUGAACGCAUUACAAGUGAACAGCCUUCCUCAGAGAACUUUGGUGAGACAUAAAUGUUGGAUUCCAGAAUAGAAAAAUGCAUGUAUCUGCAUUGAUGCUCAUGCAUAUAUGUUUAAAUGUGUAUAUAUCAUUGAAAAAUAUCUAUAAUUUUUGCAUCUGUUACAUUCUAGAUUCUCCAAUGCUUGAAUUACCUGUAGCAAAAAGAUUAAAGACCACAGCUAAUUUAAAUCACUCAGCCUAGAUUACUACAUAAAAGGGUUACAUUGAACUACACAGCUAAUAAUUUGAAGCUAGCUGACAAGUGCACUUGAAAAUUUUUCCAAUGAUCCAUGAUUAAACAUCAAGAUCAUUCAUAUUUUUCCUGGGAACAGUUAAAUCUAUAUUCCAUUGGAGCAAAAAUCAAGAAUCACAAGUUCCCAAGGCUAGGCCAGGUUUUGGUCUUUAAGAUGAUCUACGAGCCGCAUGAAAAAACUCUUCCUGAUACCUUCCAUCUGAUAGCCUCUCUACUGUACCCGUUGCAGCCAAAUUAGAUGAAUGGUCUGAGUUGUUAUUAUCCAAGAGUCUAGCCUGCAGAUUCGAAUCUGAAUUGACAGCAGGAAUCACUUGACUGCCUGUAGAACCAAGAGUCCUUCCCCUCCCGGGAAACCUGCUGUCUUGUGUAGACUGAGCAAAUGUUUCCCUCUGAGGCAUCCAUGAAGACAAGUUCCUCCAUAUAUUUCCGGAUAAUAAUCCACUGUUCAGAUAAAUUUCUCAAGUUACACAUCCUGCAGGAGUAAAGUUUUUGCCAUAGAAAGCAAAUUUACCUGGAGGUUGUGUUUUGGCUGGAAUAUGUGGGUAUGUACCCUGUCGGAUUCCCACCAGUGCACAUAAUAAAUUUGGGCCGCCUCACACAAGAGGAAAGCAAAGAGGAGGCCUCAAUGGCAGAAUAGAAAGUUGUUCCAGGCAUCAAGACGUUGAACAAGCCAUAGGUAUCUGAAAAUAUAAAGACAAAUUUUGAAUUGAUGGAGUUUAUAAAGUAAAACAAAAUGCAAAGGGGAAAAACGAUAAAUUUUUAAAUGGAAAUGGGGAUUACAUACAUGCAAAUCCUGACAAGAUGCCACACAGAUGUCCAAGUAAAGAGACAUUCGUCAUAAGAAGCUGGAAUACUAUCAAUAAAAUAAACGCAUACCUGAAACACAUAUUUCAACUAGAGAUGCUACAGCUUCAAGUAAAUGCAGAAGAAUAAGAUAAUCAAGCAUACAAAAUCAAGCAUACAGAAUGUUUUUGUGCUUGUGUAUGUAUCAUUGGAGAAGUUACAGUAUUUACCACUUAGCAGGAACAUUAAAGAGACCAAACACACUCCUUGACUGAACUCCACUCAAGCUUGUCUCUAUCACAAUCAUGGAAAAUAAGAUUCCGGAGAAGCCUAUUGCACACUCAUCCAUGAGAUACUGAUUUGGACGAAAAGGAUUAUGAGCUACCAGCAAUGCUAUUAGAAGAUGAAAUAUAGCAUUGCUUGUAGCCAACAAAAUCGUCAAGUAUAGCAAGCGGAUAGAUCCCAUGAUUCUCUCGAGUUCAGAACCCAAAGGCACCAAAGCCAGCAUGUUGAACAGCACAUGAAGCAAUGAACCAUGAAAAAUAAUGGAUGUAUAAAUCCUGUAAACUGCACACCAAAAGAAUUAAGUUCAUGGUUUGAAGCCUAGCAUGAGUUAUGAAGACAUACAAGCACAAGCGAUGAGACGAAAGGAUCUGAUCCCUUCAUAUACUAAGAUUGAAUAAUUUAAAACACGACCAUAUAUCCAUGUAAUCUGACGUAGAAGGUUUCUAAUAGGGCCAUACCGGCCUAAAGUCUUAAUUAAGUGUGGCUUGAAACUAAACGCUUAGUUUAGAUAAUGUUUAUCUAAAUCUCAUGGUUUAUAUUCCAACCAAGAUUUCAGGCUAAACCAAAAUGGGGGCAAAAGGAAAGAAAAUAAAAUAAAGCACAAAUCCAUUGUGGGGAACGUAUCCUCAUAUGAAAGAUUUUCUAAUAUUACUUUCCUUAUAAUUGUAUAUCAAUAUGCAUCAUUAGAUGUGAAUUUACCUUGAAAUCAUGAGAUAACAGCAGAUGGCAAGAAGCAUAUUUCAUAAAAGGAGUCAUAUCCGAUGAAGAGGCAAACCAAGUAGAUAGUCCCACAAACAAUCACCACUGCAGAAGUUAGAAACGGAAUGCUUUCCCACCAUUGCCCCACUCUAGUAGGCAAUCCUGCCUGUAGACCAAUUAAAACGAAAGGUAUAACCGAAGCAUAACAAAAGCUACAUGAAAACUCAUAAGGAAACCUGAUAUUGUCUGUUUUCCAACUAAUUAUGUAUGACCACAUUUUCAGGUUAAUUUAGCCAAAGAUAAUAAGUCUAACAGACCAAAUAUAUCAAAAAGUUAGAAGAAUCUCCUAUCUUGUUCAUCCUCAGCUGGCAUUUCAAUUCUACUUUUAAGUUAGUUCAUAUUCAGCCACCUCAUAGUCAGGAAUGGAUCAAAUCAAACCACAUUUCACCACUUCAAGAUGCAAAAACGAAUUAUGAUGUCAACUUAACAGAGUUACAAAACAGAUCUACAUAUAUUCCAAUUAAACACGAAUAAAAAAAAUUUUUUUUUUCCAUCCUGCAUUUUCUUGGUUUAUAAUUUCAAGGCGCCGAAACAUUAACACAUCAACACGCAGCUAAUAAGUGCAGUAACAGAAAAUUUCCGCCGAAAACAAAAACUCUCACAGUCUCUGUUUGAUUGUUUAGAGUAGAGAGAGCGAUAAAAAAAGGGUUAGUGAUUUUUCCAAAAAGAGAAAAAGGAAAAAAGAAAAUCACCAAGCAAGUCAAACAGUAGUAAUUAACAGAGCUAAGCGGAGCCUUCGCUCAAUCAUUUGUGACAAUUCGUUUCUCUAAGCGAAAAAAGAGAGAUUCAAACUUUUCAUUUCAUUUCUUUUGCCGCAUUUUACCAGAAACCAAACAACCAAAAGAGGUAAAAAAAAGAGUUACAAUUAAGAAACCCUAACGCUAAGCAUUGAGAUUGAAGGGUGAAGAAGGAAAGUGAAGAUCGGGAGCUCA
This 4161-nucleotide unclassified non-coding RNA is filed under the name Hevea brasiliensis (rubber tree). Lineage: Eukaryota; Viridiplantae; Streptophyta; Magnoliopsida; Malpighiales; Euphorbiaceae. The record is from RNAcentral.